AACGAACGCUGGCGGCAUGCCUAACACAUGCAAGUCGAACGAGACCUCCGUGCCUAGUUGCGCACGGGUGCGUAACGCGUGGGAACCUGCCCUUAGGUUCCGAAUAAUUCCCCUAAAGGGGUGCUAAUACCGGAUAAUGUCUUCGGACCAAAGAUUUAUCGCCUUUGGGGGGGCCCGGGUUGGUUUAGCUAGUUGGUAGUGAAAAAGCCUACCAAGGCGACGAUACAUAGCUGGUCUGAGAGGAAGACCAGCCACACUGGGACUGAGACACGGCCCAGACUACUAGGGGAGGGAGCAGAGGGGAAUAUAGGACAAUGGGCGAAAGCCUGAUCCAGCAAUGCCGCGUGAGUGAUGAAGGCGUUAGGGUUGUACAGCUCUUUUACACGGGAUGGUAAUGACAGUACCGGGAGAAUAAGCACCGGCUAACUCCGUG
This 433-nucleotide ribosomal RNA is filed under the name uncultured bacterium. RNAcentral's name for it is "partial 16S ribosomal RNA". It matches the Rfam family "Bacterial small subunit ribosomal RNA", at positions 29 to 507 of the family's 1533-position model. The record is from RNAcentral.